Hibiscus syriacus is the source of this 393-nucleotide long non-coding RNA. RefSeq lists it as uncharacterized. The record is from RefSeq and is a predicted model, not a curated record. Lineage: Eukaryota; Viridiplantae; Streptophyta; Magnoliopsida; Malvales; Malvaceae. The transcript has 3 exons.
GUUUGUGGUGGUGAAUAAGCAUCUUCUUCAUGACUUAACCGAGAUGGGUUUUCGGACGUCUGUCAUUAAGAACAAGAUCAUACAUGCUGAUGGUUCAGUCCAAAAUAUUCCAAAAAUACCUCAUGAACUGAAAGCAAUUUACAGGGUCUGAAGACAGGAAUGUGUUAUUUAAGAUCUCUUGCUGCAGCUGAUGCAAUUAAAUUCACUGUUCAUACAUCGAUGCUUAAGGAAAAGCCAAAAGUAGAAGAUGAUGACACAAAAGUGGCACAAAUUGUGUGUUCCCUUACAAAUCGAGAAGAGUGCAUGGCUUGUGGAAGUUAGGAGUGUAGUGGUUCCCCAUUUUGAAGCUUGCAAUAAAGGCAAUUAGGUGCUCAGGAUUUGGACUUUUACUAU